UAGACGGAUGCGAUCAUACCAGCACUAAUGCACCGGAUCCCAUCAGAACUCCGAAGUUAAACGUGCUUGGGCGAGAGUAGUACUAAGAUGGGUGACCUCUUGGGAAGUCCUCGUGUUGCACCCCCCUCUCUUCACAAAAUGUUUUGCCCCCUGCGUCGUCGACCCUUCUAACGAUAUAAAAUCAUGUAUAUUUCCUACAUUAUGACGUAGGGGAACCGAGACCGUUGGUAAUUCCGAGGUUCGGGUGGAAAACGGCCAAAACGCAGUUUAAAGUAAGAUAAAAAAUUGAAAAUUAAGGGAGGAAGUAGUGACGGGAUUGGUUGAUAUACACAUGAGCGUGAGCAGUGGACGGGUGCGAUCAUACCAACACUAAUGCCUCGGACCCCAUGGGCCGUCACCACGUCUCUAAAGAUAAAUUAUGUACAUUUCUUAUAUUACGAAAUAGGGCAACCGAGACCGUGGGUUGUUAUGAGGGUCGGGCGAAAAAGGGCGAAACUAAACGCAUUUAAAAUUAAGUGAAGAGAUUGCAAAUCAAAGGAGGAACUAGUGACAGUCGUUCUUUAUAUACACAUGACUGUGAGAAGUAGACGGAUGCGAUCAUACCAGCGUUAAUGUACUAGAUCUCAUCAGAACUGCAACGUCAAACGUGCUUGGGCGAGAGUAGUACUAAGAUGGGUGACCUCUUCGGAAGUUCUCGUAGUGCACCCCCUCCUUUUGCAAUUUUCCUCCGGCGACGUUAUCGACACGCUUAGCGAGGUUACAUCGUUUAUAUUACGUGCAUAAUGACGGAGGGGAACCGAGAGGGGGGUACUUUCCAGGCUCGGGCGGGAACGGGGCAAAAUGUAAUGAAAAAAGGCUAAAUUAAACGCAUUUCAAAUUAAGUGAAAAAAUUGAAAUUCAAAGGAGGAACUAGUGACGGUCGUGGUUUAUAGACACAUGACUUUGAGAAAUAGACGGAUGCGAUCAUAUCAGCACUAAUACACUGGAUCUCAUCAGAACUUUAAAGUUAAAUGUGCUUGUGCGAGAGUAGUACGAAGAUGGGUGACCUCUUCGGAAGUCCACAUGUUGCGCCCCCUACUUUCUUAAAUAUUUUACACCCCUUCAGCCGUCGACACGUCUCUCGUGAUAAAUCAUGGUAUUUGUGAGGUUUGUUUCUCGGGGGAACCGAGAGCGUGGGUAAUUUAAAAGGCGGGACGAAAAAGGCACAAAUUAAACACAGUUAAAAGUAACGGAAAAGGUUAGAAAUGAAGGGAGGAACUAGUGACGGUAGUGGUUCAUAGACACAUGAUUGUGAGAAGUUGAUGGAUGCGAUCAUACCAGUGCUAAUGCAUGAGAUCUCAUCAGAAGUUCGAAGUUGAACGUGUUUGGGCGAGAGUAGUACUAAGAUGGCUGACCUCUUCGGAAGUGCUCGUAGUCCACCCCCUCUUUUCACAAAUUUUGUAGACCCCAUGAGCCGUCGCCACGUCUCUAGAGAUAAAUUAUGUACAUUUCUUAUGUUACGACAUAGGGCAACCGAGACCGUGGGUAGUUAUGAGGGUCGGGCGAAAAAUGGCAAAACUAAAUGCAUUUAAAAUUAAGUGAAAAGAUUGAAAAUCACAGUAGGAACUAGUGACAGUCGUGGUUCAUAUACACAUGACUGUGGACCAAAAGAGGAACUAGUGACGGUUGUGGUUUAUAUACACAUGACUGUGAGAAGUAGACGGAUGCGAUCAUACCAGCACUAAUACACUAGAUCUCAUCAGAACUUUAAAGUUAAAUGUGCUUGUGCGAGAGUAGUACGAAGAUGGGUGACCUCUUCGGUAGUCCUCAUGUUGCACCCCCUAUUUUCAUUAAUAUUUUACACCCCUUCAACCGUCGACACGUCUCUCGUGAUAAAUCAUGUACAUUUCUUAGAUGAUGACAUAGGGGAACCGUGAGCGUGGGUAAUUUAAAGGGUUGGACGAAAAAGGCACAAAUAUAACGCUGUUAAAACUAAGAGAAAAGGUUAGAAAUGAAUGGAGGAACUAGUGACGGUAGUGGCUCAUAGACACAUGACUGUGAGAAGUAGAUGGAUGCUAUGACAUAGGGGAACCGAGAGCAUGGGUAAUUUCAAAGAUUGGACGAAAAAGGCACAAAUUAAAUGCAGUUAAAAGUAAUAGAAAAGGUUAGAAAUGAAGGGAGGAACUAGUGACGGUAGUGGUUCAUAGACACAUGACUGUGAGAAGUAGAUGGAUACGAUCAUACCAGCGCUAAUGCGCUAGAUCUCAUCAGAACUUCGACGUUAAACGUGCUUGGGCGAGAGUAGUACUAAGAUAGGUGACCUCUUGGGAAGUCAUAACUUCGAAGUUGAACGUGUUUGGGCGAGAGUAGUACUAAUAUGGCUGACCUCUUCGGAAGUGCUCGUAGUUCACCCCCUCUUUUGACAAAUUUUGUAGACCCCAUGAGUCGUCGCCACGUCUCUAGAGAUAAAUUAUGUACAUUUCUUAUAUUAUGACAUAGGGCAACCGAGACCGUGGGUAGUCGGGCGAAAAAAGGCUAAAUUAAACGCAUUUAAAAUUAAGUGAAAAGAUUGAAAGUCAAAGGAGGAACUAGUGACAGUCGUGGUUUAUAUAGACAUGACUGUGAGAAGUAGACGGAUGCGAUCAUACCAGCACUAAUGCACUCGAUCUCAUCAGAACUUCAAAGUUAAAUGUGCUUGUGCAAGAGUAGUUCGAAGAUGGGUGACCUCUUCGGGAGUUCUUUCGAAAGUUCUCGUAGUGCACCCCCUCUUUUGACAAAUUUUGUAGACCCCAUGAGUCGUCGCCACGUCUCUAGAGAUAAAUUAUGUACAUUUCUUAUAUUACGACAUAGGGCAACCUAGACUGUGGGUAGUUAUGAGGGUCGGGCGCAAAAGGGCAAAAUUAAACGUAUAUAAAAUUAGAAGAAACGAUUGAAAUUCAAAGGAGGAACUAGUGACGGUCGUGGUUUAUAUACACAUGCCUGUGAGAAGUAGACGGAUGCGGUCAUACCAAUACUAAUGCAAUGGAUUGCAUCAGAAAUUCAAAGUUAAAUGUGCUUGGCGAGAGUUGUACGAAGAUGGGUGACCUUUAGGUAGUCCUCGUGUUGCACCCCCUCUUUUCAUAAAUAUUUUACACCCCUUCAGCCGUCGACACGUCUCUCGUGAUAAAUAUUAGGACGUAGGGGAAUCGAGACCGUUGGUAAUUCCGAGGUUCGGGUUGAAAAGGGCCAAAAUGCAGUUUAAAGUAUGAUAAAAUAUUGAAAAUGAAGGGAGGAAGUAGUGACGUGAUUGGUUGAUAUACACAUGAGGGUGAGCAGUGGACGGGUGCGAUCAUAUCAGCACUAAUGCACCGUAUCCCAUCAGAACUCCGAAGUUAAACGUGCUUGGGCGAGAGUAGUACUAAGAUUGUGACCUCUUGGGAAGUCCUCGUGUUGCACCCCCCUCUCUUCACAAAAUGUUUUGCCCCCUGUGUCGUCGACCCUUCUAACGAUAUAACAUCAUGUAUAUUUCCUACAUUAUGACGUAUGGGAACCGAGACCGUUGGUAAUUCCGAGGUUCGGGUUGAAAAGGGCCAAAACGCAGUUUAAAGUAUGAUAAAAGUUUGAAAAUGAAGGGAGGAAGUAGUGACGGGAUUUGUUGAUAUACACAUGAGGGUGAGCAGUGGACGGGUGUGAUCAUACCAGCACUAAUGCACCGGAUCCCGUCAGAACUCCGAAGCUAAAUGUGCUUGGGCGAGAGUAGUACUAAGAUUGGUGACCUCUUGGGAAGUCCUCGUGUUGCACCCCCCUCUCUUCACAAAAUGUUUUGCCCCCUGCGUCGUCGACCCUUCUAACUAUAUAAAAUCAUGUAUAUUUCCUACUUUAUGACGUAGGGGAACCGAGACCGUUGGUAAUUCCGAGGUUCGGGUUGAAAAGGGCCAAAACGCAGUUUAAAGUAUGAUAAAAGAUUGAAAAUGAAGGGAGGAAUUAGUGACGGGAUUGGUUGAUAUACACAUGAGGGUGAGUAGUGGACGGGUGCGAUCAUACCAGCACUAGUGCACCGGAUCCCAUCAGAACUCCGAAGAUAAACGUGCUUGGGCGAGAGUGGUACUAAGAUGGGUGACCUCUUGGGAAGUCCUCGUGUUGCACCCCCCUCUCUUCACAAAAUGUUUUGCCCCCUGCGUCGUCGACCCUUUAACGAUAUAUAAUCAUGUAUAUUUCCUACAUUAUGACGUAGGGGAACCGAGACCGUUGGUAAUUCCGAGGUUCGGGUGGAAAAGGGCCAAAUCGCAGUUUAAAGUAAGAUAAAAGAUUGAAAAUGCAGGGAGGAAGUAGUGACGGGAUUGGUUGAUAUACACAUGAGCGUGAGCAGUGGACGGGUGCGAUCAUACCAGCACUAAUGCAACUGAUCCCAUCAGAACUCCGAAGUUAAACGUGCUUGUGCGAGAGUAGUACUAAGAUGGGUGACCUCUUGGGAAGUCCUCGUGUUGCACCCCCCUCCUCUUUUUGCAAUUUUUUCUCCCGGCGACGUUAUGGACACUCUUACCGAGAUUACAUCGUUUAUAUUACACGCAUAAUGAGGGAGGGGAACGGAGGGAUCGGUCAUUUUCGAGGCUCGGGCGGGAACGGGCUGAAAUGUAAUUAAAAGAAAGCGAAAAGCGUGAAAAUGAAGGGAGGAAGUAGUGACGGGAGUGGUUCAAAUAAGAGUGAUCGUGAGAAGUCAACGGGUGCGAUUAUACCAGCACUAAUGCACCGGAUCCCAUUAGAACUCCGAAGUUAAACGUGCUUGUGCGAGAGUAGUACUAAGAUGGGUGACCUCUUGGGAAGUCCUCGUGUUGCACCCCCCUCCUCUUUUUGCAAUUUUUUCUCCCGGCGACGUUAUGGACACUCUUACCGAGAUUACAUCGUUUAUAUUACACGCAUAAUGAGGGAGGGGAACGGAGGGAUCGGUCAUUUUCGAGGCUCGGGCGGGAACGGGCUGAAAUGUAAUUAAAAGAAAGCGAAAAGCGUGAAAAUGAAGGGAGGAAGUAGUGACGGGAGUGGUUCAAAUAAGCGUGAUCGUGAGAAGUGGACGGGUGCGAUCAUUCCAGCACUAAUGCACCGGAUCCCAUUAGAACUCCGAAGUUAAACGUGCUUGGGUGAGAGUAGUACUAAGAUGGGUGACCUCUUGGGAAGUCCUCGUGUUGCACCCCCCUCCUCUUUUUGCAAUUUUUUCUCCCGGCGACGUUAUGGACACUCUUACCGAGAUUACAUCGUUUAUAUUACACGCAUAAUGAGGGAGGGGAACGGAGGGAUCGGUCAUUUUCGAGGCUCGGGCGGGAACGGGCUAAAAUGUAAUUAAAAGAAAGCGAAAAGCGUGAAAAUGAAGGGAGGAAGUAGUGACGGGAGUGGUUCAAAUAAGCGUGAUCGUGAGAAGUGGACGGGUGCGAUCAUACUAGCACUAAUGCGCCGGAUCCCAUCAGAACUCCGAAGUUGAACGUGCUUGGGCGAGAGUAGUACUAAGAUGGGUGACCUCUUGGGAAGUCCUCGUGUUGCACCCCCUCCUUUUGCAAUUUUUCUCCGGCGACGUUAUGGGCACGCUUAGCGAGGUUACAUCGUUUAUAUUACGUGCAUAAUGACGGAGGGGAACCGAGAGGGGGGUACUUUCCAGGCUCGGGCGGGAACGGGGCAAAAUGUAAUUAAAAGAAAGCGAAAAGCAUGAAAAUGAAGGGAGGAAGUAGUGACGGGAGUGGUUCAAAUAAGAGUGAUCGUGAGAAGUCAACGGGUGCGAUUAUA
RNAcentral lists this long non-coding RNA (5730 nucleotides) under Linum usitatissimum (flax). Lineage: Eukaryota; Viridiplantae; Streptophyta; Magnoliopsida; Malpighiales; Linaceae. The record is from RNAcentral.